GAUGAACGCUGGCGGCGUGCCUAAUACAUGCAAGUCGAACGGACGGACGCGAAUCUUGCUUUUCUGAUGUUAGCGGCGGACGGGUGAGUAACACGUGGAUAACCUACCUAUAAGACUGGUAUAACUUCGAGAAACCGGAGCUAAUACCGGAUAAUAUUUUGAACCGCAGGGUUCAAAAGUGAGAGACGGUCUUUCUGUCACUUCUAGAUGGAUCCGCGCUGCAUUGGCUAGUUGGUAAGGUAACGGCUUACCAAGGCAACGAUGCAUAGCCGAACUGAGAGGGUGAUCGGCCACACUGGAACUGAGACACGGUCCAGAGUCCUACGGGAGGCAGCAGUAGGGAAUCGUCCGCAAUGGGCGAAAGCCUGACGGAGCAACGCCGAGUGAGUGAUGAAGGUCUUCGGAUCGUAAAACUCUGUUAUUAGGGAAGAACAUAUUUGUAAGGAACUGUGCACAGCUUGACGGUACCUAAUCAGAAAGCCACGGCUAACUACGUG
This 497-nucleotide ribosomal RNA is filed under the name uncultured bacterium. Its description in RNAcentral is "partial 16S ribosomal RNA". It matches the Rfam family "Bacterial small subunit ribosomal RNA", at positions 28 to 507 of the family's 1533-position model. The record is from RNAcentral.